CUGCUGCCUUCCGUAGGAGUCUGGGCCGUGUCUCAGUCCCAAUGUGGCCGGUCACUCUCUCAAGCCGGCUACUGAUCGUUGCUUUGGUAGGCCGUUACCCUGCCAACUGGCUAAUCAGACGCGGGGCCAUCGUAUGCCGAUAAAUCUUUUCACACCACGCCAUGCAGCAUUGUGUGCUUAUGCGGUAUUAGCAGUCAUUUCUGACUGUUGUCCCCCUGCAUACGGCAGGUU
RNAcentral lists this ribosomal RNA (231 nucleotides) under uncultured bacterium. RNAcentral's name for it is "partial 16S ribosomal RNA". The record is from RNAcentral.